GGGGAUGAAUGCAAAGCGGUCGCGCGACAGGUUUUUCAAGCCUGGACUAGAGAGUUCAAGUCUCUCCAUCCCCGCCA
This 77-nucleotide transfer RNA is filed under the name Acidobacteriota bacterium. RNAcentral describes it as "Acidobacteria bacterium tRNA-Glu". It matches the Rfam family "tRNA". Rfam says of the family: Transfer RNA (tRNA) molecules are approximately 80 nucleotides in length. Lineage: Bacteria; Pseudomonadati; Acidobacteriota. The record is from RNAcentral. RNAcentral also lists the same sequence under 1 other name.